RNAcentral lists this ribosomal RNA (415 nucleotides) under uncultured bacterium. RNAcentral's name for it is "bacterial SSU rRNA". It matches the Rfam family "Bacterial small subunit ribosomal RNA", at positions 402 to 809 of the family's 1533-position model. The record is from RNAcentral.
UGAGUGAAGAAGGCCUUCGGGUUGUAAAGCUCUUUUGUCAGGGAAGAAACGGCUGAGGAUAAUACCUUCGGCUAAUGACGGUACCUGAAGAAUAAGCACCGGCUAACUACGUGCCAGCAGCCGCGGUAAUACGUAGGGUGCAAGCGUUAAUCGGAAUUACUGGGCGUAAAGCGUGCGCAGGCGGUUUUGUAAGUCUGACGUGAAAGCCCCGGGCUCAACCUGGGAAUUGCGUUGGAGACUGCAAGGCUUGAAUCUGGCAGAGGGGGGUAGAAUUCCACGUGUAGCAGUGAAAUGCGUAGAGAUGUGGAGGAACACCGAUGGCGAAGGCAGCCCCCUGGGUCAAGAUUGACGCUCAUGCACGAAAACGUGGGGAGCAAACAGGAUUAGAUACCCUGGUAGUCCACGCCCUAAACGA